UACGUAGGUGGCAAGCGUUGUCUGGAAUUAUUGGGCGUAAAGCGCGCGCAGGCGGUCCUUUAAGUCUGAUGUGAAAGCCCACGGCUCAACCGUGGAGGGUCAUUGGAAACUGGGGGACUUGAGUGCAGAAGAGGAGAGUGGAAUUCCACGUGUAGCGGUGAAAUGCGUAGAGAUGUGGAGGAACACCAGUGGCGAAGGCGACUCACUGGCCCGGUACUGACGCUGAGGUGCGAAAGCGUGGGGAGCAAACAGG
RNAcentral lists this ribosomal RNA (253 nucleotides) under uncultured bacterium. RNAcentral's name for it is "partial 16S ribosomal RNA". It matches the Rfam family "Bacterial small subunit ribosomal RNA", at positions 524 to 776 of the family's 1533-position model. The record is from RNAcentral.